GAGUUUGAUCCUGGCUCAGGACGAACGCUGGCGGCGUGCCUAACACAUGCAAGUCGAACGAAGUAUAAUGAAAGCUUGCUUUCAUUAUACUUAGUGGCGGACGGGUGAGUAACGCGUGAGUAACCUGCCUUGUAGCGUGGAAUAACGUUUCGAAAGGAACGCUAAUACCACAUAACGUAGCGAAGCCGCAUGGCUAUGCUACCAAAGAUUUAUCACUACGAGAUGGACUCGCGUCUGAUUAGCUAGUUGGUGAGGUAAUGGCUCACCAAGGCGACGAUCAGUAGCCGAACUGAGAGGUUGAUCGGCCACAUUGGGACUGAGACAC
This 325-nucleotide ribosomal RNA is filed under the name uncultured low G+C Gram-positive bacterium 13ev. RNAcentral describes it as "bacterial SSU rRNA". It matches the Rfam family "Bacterial small subunit ribosomal RNA", at positions 9 to 327 of the family's 1533-position model. The record is from RNAcentral. Lineage: Bacteria; Bacillati; Bacillota.